Molecule: ribosomal RNA, 450 nt
Filed under: uncultured bacterium
Lineage: Bacteria
Description: partial 16S ribosomal RNA
Rfam family: Bacterial small subunit ribosomal RNA
Source: RNAcentral
GUGGGGAAUAUUGGACAAUGGGCGAAAGCCUGAUCCAGCCAUGCCGCGUGUGUGAAGAAGGUCUUCGGAUUGUAAAGCACUUUAAGUUGGGAGGAAGGGCAGUAAGUUAAUACCUUGCUGUUUUGACGUUACCGACAGAAUAAGCACCGGCUAACUUCGUGCCAGCAGCCGCGGUAAUACGAAGGGUGCAAGCGUUAAUCGGAAUUACUGUGCGUAAAGCGCGCGUAGGUGGUUUUGUAAGUUGGAGGUGAAAUCCCCGGGCUCAACCUGGGAACUGCCUCCAAAACUGCAUGACUAGAGUACGGUAGAGGGUAGUGGAAUUUCCUGUGUAGCGGUGAAAUGCGUAGAUAUAGGAAGGAACACCAGUGGCGAAGGCGACUACCUGGACUGAUACUGACACUGAGGUGCGAAAGCGUGGGGAGCAAACAGGAUUAGAUACCCGUGUAGUCC